RNAcentral lists this ribosomal RNA (253 nucleotides) under uncultured bacterium. RNAcentral describes it as "partial 16S ribosomal RNA". It matches the Rfam family "Bacterial small subunit ribosomal RNA", at positions 524 to 776 of the family's 1533-position model. The record is from RNAcentral.
UACGUAGGUGGCAAGCGUUGUCCGGAUUUACUGGGCGUAAAGAGCGCGCAGGCGGUCGUUCAAGUCGCGUGUGAAAGCCCCCGGCUCAACUGGGGAGGGUCACGCGAUACUGAUCGACUCGAAGGCAGGAGAGGGUAGUGGAAUUCCCGGUGUAGUGGUGAAAUGCGUAGAUAUCGGGAGGAACACCAGUGGCGAAGGCGGCCCCCUGGGUCGGCCCUGACGCUGAGGCGCGAAAGCCAGGGGAGCAAACGGG